AUUGAACGCUGGCGGCAGGCCUAACACAUGCAAGUCGAACGGUAACAGGGAUCAGUUUGCUGAUUCGCUGACGAGUGGCGGACGGGUGAGUAAUGUCUGGGAAACUGCCUGAUGGAGGGGGAUAACUACUGGAAACGGUAGCUAAUACCGCAUAACGUCGCAAGACCAAAGAGGGGGACCUUCGGGCCUCUUGCCAUCGGAUGUGCCCAGAUGGGAUUAGCUAGUAGGUGGGGUAACGGCUCACCUAGGCGACGAUCCCUAGCUGGUCUGAGAGGAUGACCAGCCACACUGGAACUGAGACACGGUCCAGACUCCUACGGGAGGCAGCAGUGGGGAAUAUUGCACAAUGGGCGCAAGCCUGAUGCAGCCAUGCCGCGUGUAUGAAGAAGGCCUUCGGGUUGUAAAGUACUUUCAGCGGGGAGGAAGGGAGUAAAGUUAAUACCUUUGCUCAUUGACGUUACCCGCAGAAGAAGCACCGGCUAACUCCGUG
Molecule: ribosomal RNA, 490 nt
Filed under: uncultured bacterium
Lineage: Bacteria
Description: partial 16S ribosomal RNA
Rfam family: Bacterial small subunit ribosomal RNA
Source: RNAcentral